AGUGGCGGACGGGUGAGUAACGCGUAAGAAUCUAACUUCAGGACGGGGACAACAGUUGGAAACGACUGCUAAUACCCGAUGUGCCGCAAGGUGAAACCUAAUUGGCCUGGAGAAGAGCUUGCGUCUGAUUAGCUAGUUGGUGGGGUAAAGGCCUACCAAGGCGACGAUCAGUAGCUGGUCUGAGAGGAUGAGCAGCCACACUGGGACUGAGACACGGCCCAGACUCCUACGGGAGGCAGCAGUGGGGAAUUUUCCGCAAUGGGCGAAAGCCUGACGGAGCAACGCCGCGUGAGGGAGGAAGGUCUUUGGAUUGUAAACCUCUUUUCUCAAGGAAGAAGUUCUGACGGUACUUGGGGAAUCAGCCUCGGCUAACUCCGUGCCAGCAGCCGCGGUAAUACGGGGGAGGCAAGCGUUAUCCGGAAUUAUUGGGCGUAAAGCGUCCGCAGGUGGUCAGCCAAGUCUGCCGUCAAAUCAGGUUGCUUAACGACCUAAAGGCGGUGGAAACUGGCAGACUAGAGAGCAGUAGGGGUAGCAGGAAUUCCCAGUGUAGCGGUGAAAUGCGUAGAGAUUGGGAAGAACAUCGGUGGCGAAAGCGUGCUACUGGGCUGUAUCUGACACUCAGGGACGAAAGCUAGGGGAGCGAAAGGGAUUAGAUACCCCUGUAGUCCUAGCCGUAAACGAUGGAUACUAGGCGUGGCUU
Molecule: ribosomal RNA, 700 nt
Filed under: uncultured bacterium
Lineage: Bacteria
Description: bacterial SSU rRNA
Rfam family: Bacterial small subunit ribosomal RNA
Source: RNAcentral